AAGUCGUAACAAGGUCUCCGUAGGUGAACCUGCGGAGGGAUCAUUACCGAGUUAGGGUCCUUGUGGCCCGACCUCCAACCCUAUGUCUACCUUACCUUUUGUUGCUUCGGCGGGCCCGUCCCCCUUGGAAAAGGGGUGACCGCCGUGGGGUUAUGCCCUUUCGGUCCGCGCCCGUCGGUGGCCACCUAAAACUCUUGUUAAAUCGUGUCGUCUGAAGUGAAAAAUUAAUAACUAAAAAACUUUCAACAACGGAUCUCUUGGUUCUG
Molecule: unclassified non-coding RNA, 266 nt
Filed under: air metagenome
Description: partial contains small subunit ribosomal RNA, internal transcribed spacer 1, and 5.8S ribosomal RNA
Rfam family: Eukaryotic small subunit ribosomal RNA (bases 1-46)
Source: RNAcentral